CUGGCGGUGCGCCUUAUGCAUGCAAGUCGAGCGAAGCUUUUCAGUAGUUUACUACAGAAAAUGACUGAGCGGCGAACGGGUGAGUAACGCGUGAGCAAUCUACCUUAGUUACUGGGAUAGCCCGAGGAAACUCGGAUUAAUACCGGAUAAUCUUAUUACAUCACAUGAUAUUUUAAGUAAAGGUCAGCCGAACUAAGAUGAGCUCGCGUUCUAUCAGCUUGUUGGUGGGGUAAAAGCCUACCAAGGCUACGACGGAUAGCUGGUCUGAGAGGACGAUCAGCCACACUGGGACUGAGACACGGCCCAGACUCCUACGGGAGGCUGCAGCAGGGAAUAUUGCGCAAUGAGCGAAAGCUUGACGCAGCGACACCGCGUGUGGGAUGACGGUUCUAGGAUUGUAAACCACUUUCAGGAGGGAAGAAAAUGACGGUACCUCCACAAGAAGCCCCGGCCAACUACGUGCCAGCAGCCGCGGUAAUACGUAGGGGGCGAGCGUUGUCCGGAUUUAUUGGGCGUAAAGAGCUCGUAGGCGGUUCAACAAGUCGGUCGUGAAAGUUCAGGGCUUAACCCUGAAAUGUCGAUCGAUACUGUUGUGACUAGGAUAUGGUAGAGGUGAGUGGAAUUCCGAGUGUAGCGGUGAAAUGCGUAGAUAUUCGGAGGAACACCAAUAGCGAAGGCAGCUCACUGGACCACUAUCGACGCUGAGGAGCGAAAGCUAGGGGAGCAAACAGGAUUAGAUACCCUGGUAGUCCUAGCUGUAAACGAUGGAUACUAGAUGUAGGAAUUGGAUUGACGAUUUCUGUAUCGUAGCUAACGCGUUAAGUAUCCCGCCUGGGGAGUACGGU
Molecule: ribosomal RNA, 845 nt
Filed under: uncultured bacterium
Lineage: Bacteria
Description: bacterial SSU rRNA
Rfam family: Bacterial small subunit ribosomal RNA
Source: RNAcentral